RNAcentral lists this non-coding RNA (48 nucleotides) under Schistosoma margrebowiei. Lineage: Eukaryota; Metazoa; Platyhelminthes; Trematoda; Strigeidida; Schistosomatidae. The record is from RNAcentral.
AUCCAGCUGAUCAGUUCCAAAUAGGACGAAACGCGCGUCAAACUGAAU